Molecule: ribosomal RNA, 47 nt
Filed under: Roepera billardierei
Lineage: Eukaryota; Viridiplantae; Streptophyta; Magnoliopsida; Zygophyllales; Zygophyllaceae
Also listed under: 1 other name
Description: partial 28S ribosomal RNA
Source: RNAcentral
CCCCAGGUCAGGCGGGACCACCCGCUGAGUUUAAGCAUAUCAAUAAG